AGAGUUUGAUCCUGGCUCAGAACGAACGCUGGCGGCGCGUCUUAAGCAUGCAAGUCGGGCGGGAUCCAUGCGCUUGCGCAUGGUGAGAGCGGCGGACUGGCGGGUAACACGUGGGCGACGCGCCCUCCGGACGGGAAUAGCCUGUAGAAAUACAGGGUAAUGCCGGAUGCGAACGCGCGCGCUGGAGGCGCGCGUGGAAAGCCCCCACGGGGGCGCCGGAGGAGCGGCCCGCGGCCCAUCAGCUUGUAGGCGGUGCAAGGGACCACCUAGGCUACGACGGGUACCCGGCCUCAGAGGGCGGACGGGCGCAUUGGGACUGAGAUACGGCCCAGACUCCUACGGGAGGCAGCAGCUAAGAAUAUUCCGCAAUGGGGGGAACCCUGACGGAGCGACGCCGCGUGGGCGAGGAAGGCCGGAAGGUUGUAAAGCCCUUUUGCGCGCGAGGAAUAAGGGGAGGAGGGAAUGCCUUCCCGGUGACUGUAGCGCGCGAAUAAGCGCCGGCUAAUUACGUGCCAGCAGCCGCGGUAACACGUAAGGCGCGAGCGUUGUUCGGAAUCAUUGGGCGUAAAGGGCGUGUAGGCGGCCCUGCAAGCCUGGCGUGAAAUCCCGGGGCUCAACCCCGGAACCGCGCUGGGAACUGCUGGGCUGGAGCCGCCGUGGCGCAGCCGGAAUUCCAGGUGUAGGGGUGAAAUCUGUAGAUAUCUGGAAGAACACCGAUGGCGAAGGCAGGCUGCGAGCGGACGGCUGACGCUGAGGCGCGAAGGCGCGGGGAGCGAACAGGAUUAGAUACCCUGGUAGUCCGCGCAGUAAACGAUGAACACUGGGUGUCCGGGCAUGAGCCCGGGUGCCGAAGCGAACGCGUUAAGUUGCCGCCUGGG
Molecule: ribosomal RNA, 878 nt
Filed under: uncultured bacterium
Lineage: Bacteria
Description: bacterial SSU rRNA
Rfam family: Bacterial small subunit ribosomal RNA
Source: RNAcentral